AUGUACACUAAUAUGAAUCUCAUGGUAUUGGAUGAAAGACAACUCAUCGAAGAAAUCCGGGAAUUCCUUCACGACAAGAGGUAUCUCGUCGUAAUUGAUGAUAUAUGGGAUGGAAAACUAUGGGAAGAUAUCAAGUUGGCUUUCUCUAAUAUGAACAAUGUUGGCAGUCGCCUAAUCACAACAACCCGCAUAUUUAGUGUAUCCAUAGCAUGUUGUCCUUCCACUCAUGAUUCCAUUUAUCAAAUGGAACCACUCUCAGAUAGUGACUCUACAAGGCUCUUUUGUAAAAGAAUAUUUUCAAGUGAGAAUAAAUGUCCUAGUGAACUUAAGGAAGUAUCUAGAGAUAUUUUGAAGAAAUGUGGCGGUGUACCAUUAGCUAUCCUUACUAUAGCUAGUCUUCUCACCGCUGGUCAUCAGAUAAAGCCAAAAGUUGAAUGGCAAGUUCUGCUAGACUCAAUUGGGCGUGGACUUACAGAAGAUGCAAGUAUGGAGGAAAUGCAGAGGAUACUAUCAUUUAGCUACUAUGAUCUGCCUUCUAAUCUGAAGACUUGCAUAUUAUAUUUAUGCAUGUAUCCUGAAGAUCAUGAGAUUGACAAAGAAGAUCUGAUAUGGAAGUGGAUUUGUGAAAAUUUUGUGCAGCAUGGAAAGCAUCAGACUAGUAUUUUUGAAGUUGGGGAAACUUAUUUUAACGAGCUCAUAAACAGAUACAUGAUUAUACCAAUAUUCAAUGGUUUCCGUGAAGUACAAAGUUGUCGUGUGCAUGACAUGGUGCUUGAUCUGAUUCGUUCCUUGUCAGCUGAAGCAAAGUUUUUGACAAUAUUGGAAAGUAAUAAGGAUAUCACUAGUUCUCAGAACAAUAUCCGUAGAUUGUCCCUCCAAAAUAUUGAGGAAGAUCAAGAAACUACACCUCUUGCUAACUCAAUGAGUAUAUCACAAGUAAGGUCCAUCACUGUCUUUCCACCAGCCGUGACUAUCAUGCCAGCUAUAUCUAGCUUUGGUGUUUUACGUGUAUUGGACUUACAUCGAUGCCGUAUUGGGGCACUUAACUUUCAGCCUAAGAUGAGGGAUAUCGGGUAUUUAUUUCACCUGAGGUACCUAGGUCUAAAAAGAACUGGUAUCUCUGAAAUCCCGGAGGAAAUAGGAAAUCUACAGUUUCUACAAGUGUUAGAUUUAGACUUCAAUUUCGAGAUGAGAGUGUUGCCGUCAUCCAUGUGGAAGCUAAGACAGCUAAUGUCCAUAAAGGUUUUAUUUCGCUGCUAUUGGCCCCCUGGUGUGUUGGGUAACCUGACUUCAUUGGAAGUACUGGAGAGGAUUUAUGCCUCCCCGAGCACCGUGCAAGAGCUUGGCCGCCUGGCAAGACUAAGGAGGCUUGACAUUCACUUCAUUGCUUGGAGCCUCGAGGUAGAGGAAACUUUUGUGGAGACUAUAUGCAACCUGCAUGAUAUCCAAAGUCUAAGUAUUACCUGUGAUGAUGUACCAUACUUGGAUCUCUUGGGGGGACGCUGGGAACCCCCUCGACGCCUUCGCCAAUAUACUUUCACAUCAGACCAUAUCGCAUGCUCUGCAUUGCCGAUGUGGAUAACAAAAUGUGGCCCCUCACAUCUAUCAAACCUAUCAGAGGUUCAUAUCAUAGUCAAGGAUGUGCAGCAAGAAGAUGUGCAAAUCCUUGGGAGAUUGCCAGCUCUUCGCCAUCUCUGGAUAGGCAGCACCCACCAAACAGAAAGGCUGCUCAUCAUCGGUGCAGAUGAGUUCCGUUGUGUGAUAGCCUUUGGAAUGCAUUGUGAGCCAGCCACUCAGUUAGUAUUUCAACAAGGAGCUUUGCCAAAUGCAGAAUACGUCCGAUUCAGUCUGGGCGUACGGGUGGCCAAAGAAGAUGGUAACGGUGAUCUGUUUGAGCUCGGCCUGGGCAACCUGCUCUCACUUCAGAGUGCAUUAGUUGAAAUCCAUUGGGACGGGGUCACCAAUAUGGAAGCUGCCGAAGCAUGUGCGGCAGUGAGAAAUGCAAUGGACACCCAUCCUAACCAUCCAAUCGUUAAUCUUCAUUUGGAUCCAGAGAUAUCGGAAGAUACCGAUGAUGAGGAUGAUGAUGAGUAUGACGAUGAUGACAGCGGCGAUGAAGGAGAAAGAAUGGAUCUGGACUAG
This 2142-nucleotide ribosomal RNA is filed under the name Triticum aestivum (bread wheat). Its description in RNAcentral is "partial small subunit ribosomal RNA". Lineage: Eukaryota; Viridiplantae; Streptophyta; Magnoliopsida; Poales; Poaceae. The record is from RNAcentral.